RNAcentral lists this transfer RNA (72 nucleotides) under Marmota monax (woodchuck). Its description in RNAcentral is "tRNA.Pro". The record is from RNAcentral. Lineage: Eukaryota; Metazoa; Chordata; Mammalia; Rodentia; Sciuridae.
GGGUGUAGCUCAGUGAUAGAACACGUGCCUGGGAUGCAGAAGGUCCUGGGUUGGAUCCCCAGCACAAAACCA